RNAcentral lists this small nuclear RNA (120 nucleotides) under Catagonus wagneri (Chacoan peccary). Lineage: Eukaryota; Metazoa; Chordata; Mammalia; Artiodactyla; Tayassuidae. The record is from RNAcentral.
GUGCUCGCUUCAGCAGCACAUAUAACAACAACAACAAAAAAAAUUGGAACGAUACAGAGAAGAUUAGCGUGGCCCCUGUGCAAGGAUGACACGCAAAUUUGUGAAGCUUUCCAUAUUUAA